RNAcentral lists this transfer RNA (73 nucleotides) under uncultured archaeon. RNAcentral's name for it is "tRNA-Asp(gtc)". It matches the Rfam family "tRNA". From Rfam's summary of the family: Transfer RNA (tRNA) molecules are approximately 80 nucleotides in length. The record is from RNAcentral.
GCCUCGAUGGUGUAGUGGUUAGCAUCCCAGAUUGUCAAUCUGGUGACCCGGGUCCGAAUCCCGGUCGGGGCGC